GGCCCAGUAGUUUAAUGGUAGAAUGCUUGCUUUGGAAGCAAGUGGCGGGUGUUCGAUUCACCCUUGGGCUA
This 71-nucleotide transfer RNA is filed under the name Yasminevirus sp. GU-2018. It matches the Rfam family "tRNA". Rfam says of the family: Transfer RNA (tRNA) molecules are approximately 80 nucleotides in length. Their secondary structure includes four short double-helical elements and three loops (D, anti-codon, and T loops). The record is from Rfam by way of RNAcentral. Lineage: Varidnaviria; Bamfordvirae; Nucleocytoviricota; Megaviricetes; Imitervirales; Mimiviridae.